This 549-nucleotide ribosomal RNA is filed under the name Metarhizium anisopliae. RNAcentral describes it as "eukaryotic LSU rRNA". The stretch from base 173 to 326 matches the Rfam family "5.8S ribosomal RNA". Lineage: Eukaryota; Fungi; Ascomycota; Sordariomycetes; Hypocreales; Clavicipitaceae. The record is from RNAcentral.
CAAGGUCUCCGUUGGUGAACCAGCGGAGGGAUCAUUACCGAGUUAUCCAACUCCCAACCCCUGUGAAUUAUACCUUUAAUUGUUGCUUCGGCGGGACUUCGCGCCCGCCGGGGACCCAAACCUUCUGAAUUUUUUAAUAAGUAUCUUCUGAGUGGUUAAAAAAAUGAAUCAAAACUUUCAACAACGGAUCUCUUGGUUCUGGCAUCGAUGAAGAACGCAGCGAAAUGCGAUAAGUAAUGUGAAUUGCAGAAUUCAGUGAAUCAUCGAAUCUUUGAACGCACAUUGCGCCCGUCAGUAUUCUGGCGGGCAUGCCUGUUCGAGCGUCAUUACGCCCCUCAAGUCCCCUGUGGACUUGGUGUUGGGGAUCGGCGAGGCUGGUUUUCCAGCACAGCCGUCCCUUAAAUUAAUUGGCGGUCUCGCCGUGGCCCUCCUCUGCGCAGUAGUAAAACACUCGCAACAGGAGCCCGGCGCGGUCCACUGCCGUAAAACCCCCCAACUUUUUAUAGUUGACCUCGAAUCAGGUAGGACUACCCGCUGAACUUAAGCAUA